Molecule: ribosomal RNA, 1740 nt
Filed under: Trabulsiella odontotermitis
Lineage: Bacteria; Pseudomonadati; Pseudomonadota; Gammaproteobacteria; Enterobacterales; Enterobacteriaceae
Description: bacterial LSU rRNA
Rfam family: Bacterial large subunit ribosomal RNA
Source: RNAcentral
GUUGGGUAGGGGAGCGUUCUGUAAGCCGUAGAAGGUGGUCUGUGAGGACUGCUGGAGGUAUCAGAAGUGCGAAUGCUGACAUAAGUAACGAUAAAGCGGGUGAAAAGCCCGCUCGCCGGAAGACCAAGGGUUCCUGUCCAACGUUAAUCGGGGCAGGGUGAGUCGACCCCUAAGGCGAGGCCGAAAGGCGUAGUCGAUGGGAAACAGGUUAAUAUUCCUGUACUUGGUGUUACUGCGAAGGGGGGACGGAGAAGGCUAUGUCAUCCGGGCGACGGUUGUCCCGGUUUAAGCGUGCAGGUGGAAUGACCAGGUAAAUCCGGUUGUUUGCUAACACUGAGGCGUGAUGACGAGGCACUACGGUGCUGAAGUGACAGAUGCCCUGCUUCCAGGAAAAGCCUCUAAGCAUCAGGUAACACGAAAUCGUACCCCAAACCGACACAGGUGGUCAGGUAGAGAAUACCAAGGCGCUUGAGAGAACUCGGGUGAAGGAACUAGGCAAAAUGGUGCCGUAACUUCGGGAGAAGGCACGCUGGUGCGUAGGUGAAGUCCCUUGCGGAUGGAGCUGAGACCAGUCGAAGAUACCAGCUGGCUGCAACUGUUUAUUAAAAACACAGCACUGUGCAAACACGAAAGUGGACGUAUACGGUGUGACGCCUGCCCGGUGCCGGAAGGUUAAUUGAUGGGGUCAGCCGCAAGGCGAAGCUCCUGAUCGAAGCCCCGGUAAACGGCGGCCGUAACUAUAACGGUCCUAAGGUAGCGAAAUUCCUUGUCGGGUAAGUUCCGACCUGCACGAAUGGCGUAAUGAUGGCCAGGCUGUCUCCACCCGAGACUCAGUGAAAUUGAACUCGCUGUGAAGAUGCAGUGUACCCGCGGCAAGACGGAAAGACCCCGUGAACCUUUACUAUAGCUUGACACUGAACAUUGAGCCUUGAUGUGUAGGAUAGGUGGGAGGCUUUGAAGCGUGGACGCCAGUCUGCGUGGAGCCGACCUUGAAAUACCACCCUUUAAUGUUUGAUGUUCUAACGUGGACCCGUGAUCCGGGUUGCGGACAGUGUCUGGUGGGUAGUUUGACUGGGGCGGUCUCCUCCUAAAGAGUAACGGAGGAGCACGAAGGUUGGCUAAUCCUGGUCGGACAUCAGGAGGUUAGUGCAAUGGCAUAAGCCAGCUUGACUGCGAGCGUGACGGCGCGAGCAGGUGCGAAAGCAGGUCAUAGUGAUCCGGUGGUUCUGAAUGGAAGGGCCAUCGCUCAACGGAUAAAAGGUACUCCGGGGAUAACAGGCUGAUACCGCCCAAGAGUUCAUAUCGACGGCGGUGUUUGGCACCUCGAUGUCGGCUCAUCACAUCCUGGGGCUGAAGUAGGUCCCAAGGGUAUGGCUGUUCGCCAUUUAAAGUGGUACGCGAGCUGGGUUUAGAACGUCGUGAGACAGUUCGGUCCCUAUCUGCCGUGGGCGCUGGAGAAUUGAGGGGGGCUGCUCCUAGUACGAGAGGACCGGAGUGGACGCAUCACUGGUGUUCGGGUUGUCAUGCCAAUGGCACUGCCCGGUAGCUAAAUGCGGAAGAGAUAAGUGCUGAAAGCAUCUAAGCACGAAACUUGCCCCGAGAUGAGUUCUCCCUGAGACUUUAGGUCUCCUGAAGGAACGUUGAAGACGACGACGUUGAUAGGCCGGGUGUGUAAGCGCAGCGAUGCGUUGAGCUAACCGGUACUAAUGAACCGUGAGGCUUAACCUUACAACGCCGAAG